This 411-nucleotide ribosomal RNA is filed under the name bacterium enrichment culture clone ALO1_GLFRUDD03F6VDY. RNAcentral describes it as "bacterial SSU rRNA". It matches the Rfam family "Bacterial small subunit ribosomal RNA", at positions 9 to 421 of the family's 1533-position model. The record is from RNAcentral. RNAcentral also lists the same sequence under 2 other names.
GAGUUUGAUCUUGGCUCAGAUUGAACGCUGGCGGCAUGCCUUACACAUGCAAGUCGAACGGCAGCACGGGAGCUUGCUCCUGGUGGCGAGUGGCGAACGGGUGAGUAAUGCAUCGGAACGUAUCCUGGAGUGGGGGAUAACGUAGCGAAAGUUACGCUAAUACCGCAUAUUCUGUGAGCAGGAAAGCGGGGGACCUUCGGGCCUCGCGCUCUUGGAGCGGCCGAUGUCGGAUUAGCUAGUUGGUGAGGUAAAGGCUCACCAAGGCGACGAUCCGUAGCAGGUCUGAGAGGAUGAUCUGCCACACUGGAACUGAGACACGGUCCAGACUCCUACGGGAGGCAGCAGUGGGAAUUUUGGACAAUGGGGGCAACCCUGAUCCAGCCAUGCCGCGUGAGUGAAGAAGGCCUUCGG